Molecule: ribosomal RNA, 253 nt
Filed under: uncultured bacterium
Lineage: Bacteria
Description: partial 16S ribosomal RNA
Rfam family: Bacterial small subunit ribosomal RNA
Source: RNAcentral
UACGUAGGGUGCAAGCGUUAAUCGGAAUUACUGGGCGUAAAGCGUGCGCAGGCGGUUUUGUAAGUCUGUUGUGAAAUCCCCGGGCUCAACCUGGGAAUGGCAAUGGAGACUGCAAGGCUAGAGUUUGGCAGAGGGGGGUAGAAUUCCACGUGUAGCAGUGAAAUGCGUAGAUAUGUGGAGGAAUACCGAUGGCGAAGGCAGCCCCCUGGGAUAACACUGACGCUCAUGCACGAAAGCGUGGGGAGCAAACAGG